RNAcentral lists this microRNA precursor (96 nucleotides) under Lotus japonicus. RNAcentral's name for it is "miR11082m stem-loop (lja-MIR11082m)". Lineage: Eukaryota; Viridiplantae; Streptophyta; Magnoliopsida; Fabales; Fabaceae. The record is from miRBase by way of RNAcentral.
AGUUUCCCGCCGAUAGCUUUUUGUGUGAUUUCUCUACGGAAAUCACAGAGAGUUGGUUGGACUAGGGGGUCUUGUUUUAGGCCGUUUGGGCUGACU